AGCAAAAUCAAUCCCCCCUUUAAUGGCCCAUAUUAUGUAGAAGCUAUGUUCUACAUAGAUUACAGAAAUAUGCCGCUACGCGAGGAAGACUUUAAGUCAAUCGCACUUCAAGUUGAUUUGAUUUUAAAGGAUCCCUCAUUUCCAAUAGAGGCAUAUUUCGUUCUCAAAGGGAUUCGACCUUAUAAUGACAUUGUUACCAAAGGGGAAAGAUAUAGAGAUAUAUUUUGCCAAAACACUGCUCAAGCUCGCUUAGAUAAAAAAGAAGAUGUCUCUUACUUGAUUUCAGC
Molecule: long non-coding RNA, 287 nt
Organism: Gordionus sp. m RMFG-2023
Lineage: Eukaryota; Metazoa; Nematomorpha; Gordioida; Chordodea; Parachordodidae
Exons: 3
Source: RefSeq, a predicted model, not a curated record